UACGAAGGGGGCUAGCGUUGUUCGGAAUUACUGGGCGUAAAGCGUAUGCAGGCGGACUUUUAAGUCGGGGGUGAAAUCCCGAGGCUCAACCUCGGAACUGCCUUCGAUACUGGAAGUCUUGAGUCCGGGAGAGGUGAGUGGAACUCCGAGUGUAGAGGUGAAAUUCGUAGAUAUUCGGAAGAACACCAGUGGCGAAGGCGGCUCACUGGCCCGGUACUGACGCUGAGAUGCGAAAGCGUGGGGAGCGAACAGG
RNAcentral lists this ribosomal RNA (253 nucleotides) under uncultured bacterium. RNAcentral's name for it is "partial 16S ribosomal RNA". It matches the Rfam family "Bacterial small subunit ribosomal RNA", at positions 524 to 776 of the family's 1533-position model. The record is from RNAcentral.